Molecule: transfer RNA, 108 nt
Filed under: Thalictrum viscosum
Lineage: Eukaryota; Viridiplantae; Streptophyta; Magnoliopsida; Ranunculales; Ranunculaceae
Description: tRNA-Ser
Source: RNAcentral
GGAGUUAUUGUCUAUCGUUGGCCUCUAUAGUAGAAUAAGUCGGGGAGGCCUGAGAGGCAGUGGUUUACCCUGUGGCGGAUGUCAGCGGUUCGAGUCCGCUUAUCUCCA